Long non-coding RNA from Oncorhynchus masou masou (cherry salmon), 720 nucleotides. RefSeq lists it as uncharacterized. The transcript has 3 exons. NCBI's taxonomy places the organism in Eukaryota, Metazoa, Chordata, Actinopteri, Salmoniformes, Salmonidae. The record is from RefSeq and is a predicted model, not a curated record.
AAAGCCUUAUUGGGCCAGAUAAGGUAGGCCAAUGUAUGUGAUUAGUUAUUAGAAUUGCAAUCGUAAUGUAGGCUAGCUAGCCUAUUCUAACAAACAAUUUACCACCAAUCCAACAAUCAGAAAAUAGAUAAUAACAAAACUGAAAAAUGUAAUGGUGGUAUGAAAGAAUACAACUUUUGUGUCCUUUUUCAAAGAACGAAGAGACAAGAUAUGGAGAAGGAAAAUUAUUUGUAUGGUAUACCUAUUGUGGGGCCACCUACCCUGUUGGCCUACCAACCAGAGUUGAAUCAACCUCCUGUUCAGUUUGAAAAGUUUCUCCUGGAAUUGGAGAGGGCCUUAGCUGCCGUGGAAGGUGAACAGGAAGAUUGAUGUGGGUCCUCACCCACCCUUUAUGAGCAAACCGUAGAAGAGAGCUGCAAAGGAGUGGACAGAGCAGAGGUGAUGGUCUGAUCAAAACCAUCUCCUACAGACAGCCCAAUGAGGUUUGGACCCUCUGAGAGAAGCCUUACUUCCCUCAGAUGGAUAUCAGAGACUCCUCAGACAUCUUCAGCCUUACAGGAGGAGACAGGAAGGCAGAAGGUACACCAACCCUGUACUGUCAUUGACACCAGCUUCUCUCAUCACUCUACACCUAUCCCAUUACUGUUCAGGUCCAUGGACUGUACCAUUUUAUUAGCGACUUAUUCGUUUGGUAAUGUUUUGUAUCUUUCUAUUAAAGGC